This 484-nucleotide ribosomal RNA is filed under the name uncultured bacterium. RNAcentral's name for it is "partial 16S ribosomal RNA". It matches the Rfam family "Bacterial small subunit ribosomal RNA", at positions 30 to 507 of the family's 1533-position model. The record is from RNAcentral.
AUUGAACGCUGGCGGCAGGCCUAACACAUGCAAGUCGAGCGGAUGAAGGGAGCUUGCUCCUGGAUUCAGCGGCGGACGGGUGAGUAAUGCCUAGGGAUCUGCCUGGUAGUGGGGGAUAACGUCCGGAAACGGGCGCUAAUACCGCAUACGUCCUGCGGGAGCAAGUGGGGGAUCUUCGGACCUCACGCUAUCAGAUGAGCCUAGGUCGGAUUAGCUAGUUGGUGGGGUAAAGGCCUACCAAGGCGACGAUCCGUAACUGGUCUGAGAGGAUGAUCAGUCACACUGGAACUGAGACACGGUCCAGACUCCUACGGGAGGCAGCAGUGGGGAAUAUUGGACAGUGGGCGAAAGCCUGAUCCAGCCAUGCCGCGUGUGUGAAGAAGGUCUUCGGAUUGUAAAGCACUUUAAGUUGUGAGGAAGGGCAGUAAGUUAAUACCUUGCUGUUUUGACGUUACCAACAGAAUAAGCACCGGCUAACUUCGUG